UACGUAGGUCCCGAGCGUUGUCCGGAUUUAUUGGGCGUAAAGCGAGCGCAGGUGGUUUAUUAAGUCUGGUGUAAAAGGCAGUGGCUCAACCAUUGUAUGCAUUGGAAACUGGUAGACUUGAGUGCAGGAGAGGAGAGUGGAAUUCCAUGUGUAGCGGUGAAAUGCGUAGAUAUAUGGAGGAACACCGGUGGCGAAAGCGGCUCUCUGGUCUGUAACUGACACUGAGGUUCGAAAGCGUGGGUAGCAAACAGG
Molecule: ribosomal RNA, 252 nt
Filed under: uncultured bacterium
Lineage: Bacteria
Description: partial 16S ribosomal RNA
Rfam family: Bacterial small subunit ribosomal RNA
Source: RNAcentral